RNAcentral lists this ribosomal RNA (251 nucleotides) under uncultured prokaryote. RNAcentral describes it as "partial 16S rRNA". It matches the Rfam family "Bacterial small subunit ribosomal RNA", at positions 525 to 775 of the family's 1533-position model. The record is from RNAcentral.
ACGUAGGGUGCGAGCGUUAAUCGGAAUAACUGGGCGUAAAGAGUGCGUAGGCGGUAAAGCGAGCUUGAUGUGAAAUGCCUGGGCUUAACCUGGGGACGGCAUUAAGGACAGUUUAACUAGAGUCUGUCAGAGGGGGGUAGAAUUCCACGUGUAGCAGUGAAAUGCGUAGAGAUGUGGAGGAAUACCGAUGGCGAAGGCAGCCCCCUGGGAUAAGACUGACGCUGAGGCACGAAAGCGUGGGGAGCAAACAG